Molecule: transfer RNA, 77 nt
Filed under: Bacilli bacterium
Lineage: Bacteria; Bacillati; Bacillota; Bacilli
Also listed under: 1 other name
Description: tRNA-Arg
Rfam family: tRNA
About the family: Transfer RNA (tRNA) molecules are approximately 80 nucleotides in length. Their secondary structure includes four short double-helical elements and three loops (D, anti-codon, and T loops).
Source: RNAcentral
GUCCUUGUAGCUCAGUAGGAUAGAGCAACCCCCUCCUAAGGGGUAGGUCGUUGGUUCGAUUCCAAUCAAGGACGCCA